GGAGCGGUGUCCGAGUGGCCGAAGGAGCGCGAUUGGAAAUCGCGUAUACGGAAACGUAUCGUGGGUUCGAAUCCCACCCGCUCCGCCA
This 88-nucleotide transfer RNA is filed under the name Chthonomonas sp. Its description in RNAcentral is "tRNA-Ser". It matches the Rfam family "tRNA". Rfam says of the family: Transfer RNA (tRNA) molecules are approximately 80 nucleotides in length. Their secondary structure includes four short double-helical elements and three loops (D, anti-codon, and T loops). The record is from RNAcentral. Lineage: Bacteria; Bacillati; Armatimonadota; Chthonomonadia; Chthonomonadales; Chthonomonadaceae.